This 253-nucleotide ribosomal RNA is filed under the name uncultured bacterium. RNAcentral describes it as "partial 16S ribosomal RNA". It matches the Rfam family "Bacterial small subunit ribosomal RNA", at positions 524 to 776 of the family's 1533-position model. The record is from RNAcentral.
UACGUAGGGGGCUAGCGUUGUCCGGAAUCAUUGGGCGUAAAGAGCGUGUAGGCGGUCCGGUAAGUCCGCUGUGAAAGUCGGGGGCUCAACCCUCGAAUGCCGGUGGAUACUGUCGGGCUAGAGUGCGGAAGAGGCGAGUGGAAUUCCUGGUGUAGCGGUGAAAUGCGCAGAUAUCAGGAGGAAGAGCUAUGGCGAAGGCAGCUCGCUGGGACGUAACUGACGCUGAGACGCGAAAGCGUGGGGAGCAAACAGG